This is a non-coding RNA of Cinara cedri, 545 nucleotides long. The record is from the annotation of a GenBank genome assembly. Lineage: Eukaryota; Metazoa; Arthropoda; Insecta; Hemiptera; Aphididae.
GUUCGGCAGACUCGCAGGCGCCGUUUGUAAAUUCCGCGGCGGCACGAUCGAACGCGUUUUUCAACCGAAACGCACCGUCGUUCGUUCCGUCGUGUAUGGCACGCGCGGUUUUACGGUUUUACGAUCCGUACUUGGUGCAAACUAAACGCCAACGGCUAAAACACGAGUUCACGUUCCCAGCGUUCGAGCGAACCCGAACAACUAUAAAUUGUUAAGUUUAAAUCGAUGCCCAACGUCGUUAUACUUACGAGGAAAUCGCAGUUGUUUUGAAUCCUAUCUGAUUGACGGCACGGAAAACCCGAUUGUGAAUAGUUAUAAUAUUAUACGCGGGUAUUCUGUGACACGUGUGUUUCAGUCCGACUCGUUGUUUGCGAUUUUAUCGUUUAUAUGUUACAUCGUACACAACGCACUCGCUCAAACACGUUAUUAGAAAUCCGUUCGAACACGUCAUGGUCCUGAGUUAUAACCGAGAAAUCAUGCGAUUACACGGGUACAGGUAGUCAAAAAUAAAUAAUUAUAACAAAAAUAUCAUGUCGAUUAAAAAC